CCUACGGGGGGCAGCAGUGGGGGAUAUUGCACAAUGGGGGAAACCCUGAUGCAGCGACGCCGCGUGUGGGAAGACGGUCCUCUGGAUUGUAAACCACUGUCCCCAGGGACGAAGAUGACGGUACCUGGGGAGGAAGCUCCGGCUAACUACGUGCCAGCAGCCGCGGUAAUACGUAGGGAGCGAGCGUUGUCCGGAAUUACUGGGUGUAAAGGGAGCGUAGGCGAGGAUGCAAGUUGGGUGUCAAAACUACCGGACAAACUGGUAGUCGUACGCAAAACUGCAGCUCUUGAGGGAAGUAGAGGCAGGCGGAAUUGCUAGUGUAGCGGUGAAAUGCGUAGAUAUUAGGAGGAACACCAGUGGCGAAGGCGGCCUGCUGGGCUUUUACUGACGCUGAGGCUCGAAAGUGUGGGGAGCAAACAGGAUUAGAUACCCGGGUAGUC
RNAcentral lists this ribosomal RNA (440 nucleotides) under uncultured bacterium. Its description in RNAcentral is "partial 16S ribosomal RNA". It matches the Rfam family "Bacterial small subunit ribosomal RNA", at positions 338 to 795 of the family's 1533-position model. The record is from RNAcentral.